This 255-nucleotide ribosomal RNA is filed under the name uncultured bacterium. RNAcentral's name for it is "partial 16S ribosomal RNA". It matches the Rfam family "Bacterial small subunit ribosomal RNA", at positions 524 to 777 of the family's 1533-position model. The record is from RNAcentral.
UACGAAGGGGGCUAGCGUUGUUCGGAAUCACUGGGCGUAAAGGGCGCGUAGGCGGCUUUAUAAGUCGGGGGUGAAAGCCUGUGGCUCAACCACAGAAUUGCCUUCGAUACUGUAGAGCUUGAGACCGGAAGAGGUAAGUGGAACUGCGAGUGUAGAGGUGAAAUUCGUAGAUAUUCGCAAGAACACCAGUGGCGAAGGCGGCUUACUGGUCCGGUUCUGACGCUGAGGCGCGAAAGCGGUGGGGAGCAAAACGGG